ACUUGCAUGAUUCACAUCUCAAUAUUGUCUGUCUUUCAUAUCAAGUACAUCUUAUGCAUGCGCGUGCUCAUGUAGACACUAGGUGGUGCUCAAGCACCUGCCCUUCUGGCCUUUGACUAGAUAAGUGCCCUUUUAGCGAGACAUUUUUUUCAUUUUCUUUUUCUGAUUUUACAUUUUAGUUUUUAAAUUUGGCCCAUGAUAUCAAUUUUCAAUUAAAAGCGUGUUGUAAUGCCUGACAAUUGCAUUUAAGUUCUAAUUCUGCCCCUCCUUCUUCGACUUGUCACAGCCACUGGUUGCAGCAUGCAUAUCGAGCGCCUUGCAGAGCAGCGUGAUCCACGUCUCCUGUCAUGCCUUCACUGCUGACAGCCAGGGAUAGUGGUCAGGUGAAGCCAUUACUGGAUACUGAGCCAUGAGGAAAGCAAAAGAACUGCCAAAGGACCUGUGAGAAAAGAAUGGGUGGGAGAAGUUUGCGGGCCAUCCACCACAUCCUCCUGUUAUUCAGAAGGGUCGGGGACAACCGGCACCAGAGAAGUAAAAGUUAAUAAACAGAGAAUAUGAGUAUACAGUAUCUUUAUUGUGAUGUACAGUAUUUCAUGGUAAACAUAAAGUCUGUCAAAGAUGUUAAAAAUGUGUGUGUGUGUGUGUGUGUGUGUGUGUGAAACCUAAACAAUUAAGUGUGACUAUACAACAGAUAUGCUAUGAUAUAGAAUACAACAUGAGUGCAAAAAGGGGGAAACAAUUUUACACACCGGAUGAGAA
This is a long non-coding RNA of Thunnus maccoyii (southern bluefin tuna), 759 nucleotides long. RefSeq lists it as uncharacterized. NCBI's taxonomy places the organism in Eukaryota, Metazoa, Chordata, Actinopteri, Scombriformes, Scombridae. The transcript has 3 exons. The record is from RefSeq and is a predicted model, not a curated record.